RNAcentral lists this unclassified non-coding RNA (1076 nucleotides) under Hevea brasiliensis (rubber tree). Lineage: Eukaryota; Viridiplantae; Streptophyta; Magnoliopsida; Malpighiales; Euphorbiaceae. The record is from RNAcentral.
AUUCAAACUGGGAAUACUUCCUACACUGACAAAAUGAAACCCAGACAAAGCAAAGUGGUGGAUAGAAUGGUUGAUGAAUGAAUUGAAAAUGAUCAGUGAAGAUGAAGCAGCUUGCCUCUACUUGCCACACAUUCCGUCAACAGUUCCUCUUCAGUAUCUCUUGAAGUGGCAAAGGGGCAGGAGGACAUUCUUGGCAUUAGGAUGGUCCAAUUCAACUGUCUCCCACCAUUCUUGGGGAAAUAUUUUGAUGUUUUGGAGAGAAGGGAGUGGAGACAGUUGGUCAUUGUCCAACACGAAAAGAGAGAGAGGCAUCCUCUUUAACUUCAGGCAACUGUCUACAUAAAUUCUACAGAGAGAAUUGCAAAUCAUUUUUCCACUGCAAAUGCUCUUUAGUUCUGGUAAGUAACUCAAACUAAUAGACUGUAAUUUUGGGAGAGGGAAAUGAAUAAUGCCCUUGCUUUUAUGGCUUUCUUGUUGCUCUUCCAUUGCUAUCAGCUCCUCUAUGUUUUUACAAUAAUGAACAGAAAUGUCUUCCAGCUUUUGAAGGUUUGAAGACAAGCCAGGAGGGAACAGCUUCUUUAUACUUGGACAUCCCCACAUAGAAAAUUUUUUAAGAAGAGAAAAGGUACCAAGAGGUGGUGACAAUGGCAUAAAUUUUGCUGGUGGUGAUGCCAUAGCUGCUUCUCUACCAAAGAGGAAAUGCAAGUCCUUUAAAUCGCUAAUAUACAUAUCCUCAAGGCUUUGAAAUAUAGAAGGAGAAGAGGACAAUGAGAACAAACAUUCUAUCCCAUUACAAGAUGCAAUUGUGAAGGAUCUUGGUUCAGUCGCAUUUUUCAAGCAUAAGCUCCUUCGUUUUAUGUCGCAUUGAAAAAAAUCCAGGCAUUGGACGUCUUUUGGGAGAAGUAUGGCAUCUUCAUCUCCAUCGAUACUGCAAUUAUCAAAAUACACAACUUUCAAACCUCGUGGUAACAAGUUGUCUGGUGGCUUAUGUUGGGCAACCAGAAGAUAGUAUUGAAUUAGAUUGGAAGUAUGUGUUGAAGUUGUGUAUGCAUUCAACUCAUCAACAUCAUAGACAC